This 177-nucleotide ribosomal RNA is filed under the name uncultured bacterium. RNAcentral describes it as "partial 16S ribosomal RNA". It matches the Rfam family "Bacterial small subunit ribosomal RNA", at positions 1327 to 1500 of the family's 1533-position model. The record is from RNAcentral.
UGGAAUCGCUAGUAAUCGCGGAUCAGCAUGCCGCGGUGAAUACGUUCCCGGGUCUUGUACACACCGCCCGUCCACACCAUGGGAGCCGGAAAUGCCCGAAGCCUGUGACCCAACCCGCAAGGGGGGGAGCAGUCGAAGGCGGGGCCGGUGACUGGGGUGAAGUCGUAACAAGGUACC